AGAGUUUGAUCAUGGCUCAGGACGAACGCUGGCGGCAUUGCCUAACACAUGCAAGUCGAACGGAGAUUAUUUCGAUAAUCUUAGUGGCGAACGGGUGAGUAACGCGUGGGCAACCUGCCCUCUAGAUGGGGGACAACAUCCCGAAAUGGGUGCUAAUACCGAAUGUGACAGCAAUCUCGCAUGAGGGAUGCUGUGAAAGAUGGCCUCUAUUUAUAAGCUAUCG
RNAcentral lists this ribosomal RNA (223 nucleotides) under uncultured bacterium. Its description in RNAcentral is "partial 16S ribosomal RNA". It matches the Rfam family "Bacterial small subunit ribosomal RNA", at positions 8 to 217 of the family's 1533-position model. The record is from RNAcentral.